Molecule: long non-coding RNA, 497 nt
Filed under: Ananas comosus (pineapple)
Lineage: Eukaryota; Viridiplantae; Streptophyta; Magnoliopsida; Poales; Bromeliaceae
Description: long non-coding RNA (ACOM_LNC026713)
Source: RNAcentral
AAAAAAAAAAACAAAAAAAAGAGUUGACUUUAGGAAAGACAUUCAGGGUUCGUUUUGUUCGAAAAUUAGUAAAAACUAGUUAUUCUAUAAAUUUUUAUAAGAAUAAAAAUUUUUUUUAUUUGGAUGAAAAUAUGAGUAUAAACUGGAACUAAAAAAAUUGUGUUUGAAUGAUUCUUGGGAAUAAGAGAAAUAGUUGAUGGUUAUAAAUAAAAAAUAAUGAUAUUAUUCCUAUAAUUGAAUUUAAAUUUUUAAAUUUUAAACUUAUAAUUUUAAAUUGAAAAUUUUAACUUUUAAAUUUUAAAAUUUGAAAUUAAAUUUAAAAUUUAAAUAUUCAAAUUUUUCAAUUUUAAAUUUUAAUUUUUAAAUUUGAGACCAAAUUUAAAUUUAAAAUAUAUAAAAUAUCAAAUUUAAAAUUUAUAAAUUUAUAAUAUCAAUUUUAAAUUUUAAAUUUUAAAAUUUAGAAUUUACAAUUUACAAUUUACAAUUUUAAUUUUAAA